Non-coding RNA from Caenorhabditis elegans, 137 nucleotides. The record is from Ensembl. NCBI's taxonomy places the organism in Eukaryota, Metazoa, Nematoda, Chromadorea, Rhabditida, Rhabditidae.
CUUUUCAUACAUGUUUCUUAAUUUAUAAUGAGCAGUUGCAUUGUGACGAGCAGUAAUUAGGCGAGAUUUUCAAAUUCCUGACAGAAGGAGAGGAUUAGCCGCGCGCGAAAAACGGGUUGUUGUUCGGAGCGGUGUUG